This 379-nucleotide transfer-messenger RNA is filed under the name Brevibacterium sp. JSBI002. It matches the Rfam family "transfer-messenger RNA". Rfam says of the family: Bacterial tmRNA, also known as 10Sa RNA or SsrA, is named for its dual tRNA and mRNA-like properties. Lineage: Bacteria; Bacillati; Actinomycetota; Actinomycetes; Micrococcales; Brevibacteriaceae. The record is from RNAcentral.
GGGGAUGAUCGGUUUCGACGUCGGACACUGCGUCGGGAGAAGCGGGCCGAGAAUGCAGAGUCAUCUCGUUAAUGUCCUCUGCAAAACAAUAGGUGCUAAGUCUAACAACCGCACCGAUUUCGCCCUCGCUGCCUGAUAGAGCGCGAGCUGCGAAUCCGUCAGCCUAGAGUUGCCUCUGCUCUAGAUCCUGGCGUCGCUUAAGAGGCCACUGCUUCAGAUGCAUGUUGGGGGCAUCUGAGGGACUCUUACUCAACUCCGUUCGUUGGUCCAUGUGUUCGUGCAGGGGCCAGAACCUAAGACACUGUUUUCACGAACUGCGCCCGGAGAAGUCCUGACAAUCUGCCGACGGACGCGGGUUCGAUUCCCGCCAUCUCCACGU